UAACAAAUUUAAUUGUAAAUAUACAUAUAGUAAUUUAAGUUUUGUUUAUUAUUUUUGUUACAACAUGUAGAAAUUGAAUUUUAACUUGCAUGUUUGUGGAUUGAUAUACUACAUAUUAUCUAUCUUGUUCAUAUUUUUUCAAUUUUUUUCAUAACCAUUUAGAUGACAUGCAAUAAACGGGUGGACGUCCAUUCGAGCUAUUAAAACAGUUUCCCGAGAGGACAUGAGGAGAGGUGAGGAUGAAUUUUCUGGAAAUUUUGGAGAAGGCUGAGAGUUUGAUUAUUGUUUUUCGGAUAUGCUACACCGCUCAAAGGCUUGUGCAAAUAUUACUGGAAGUUUGUGUGGUCAUGAACUUCAUUUGGUAUGUUACAUUUGAUGCCUCAGUUUUGGCCACUCAUCAACCCCAUUCGAGUACUUCUGUCUUCUUGAGAGACAGGCCAAUAAUCAUCAAUGGCGGCCACUUACUGAAUGAAGAACAUCGUGUGGCAUAUGCAUAGUAUUUCACUGUGUUAAUAUUCUGUGCCAGGGGCCGAUGGCUAAGAUUGAUUUUUCUCGUCAGGAAAAGUCGAUUGUCUGGUAAUGACACUUAAUUUUUUUCUCCCUGAGGACGAGUCGACGGACGACAGUGCUGAUAUGGUACGUCUAGCUGGUAGCCUGGUACCAAGCGACCGUAUAUGUAGCUGGUGUGUUUAGUGUGCAUGUCCUAUAAACUAGAAACUGGGAUAUCUCGUUAAUAAUUGAUAGUUUGAUACUGCAUCAAGAGAGGAGUCGUUGAUUGCAUCGACAGAUGUCGGCCCAGGUGUUCCUAUGAUCGUGUAUCUAUUAUUGCAUACUGGUCUCUCGAUCCAUCCACGAAGUCAAGGAGGAAAGAGGACCACACAUCAGUCAAUUGAAACUAAAAGGUAAUUUAUCUAUC
Long non-coding RNA from Oryza sativa Japonica Group (Japanese rice), 916 nucleotides. RefSeq lists it as uncharacterized. NCBI's taxonomy places the organism in Eukaryota, Viridiplantae, Streptophyta, Magnoliopsida, Poales, Poaceae. The record is from RefSeq and is a predicted model, not a curated record.